RNAcentral lists this ribosomal RNA (462 nucleotides) under uncultured bacterium. RNAcentral's name for it is "partial 16S ribosomal RNA". It matches the Rfam family "Bacterial small subunit ribosomal RNA", at positions 28 to 507 of the family's 1533-position model. The record is from RNAcentral.
GAUGAACGCUGACAGAAUGCUUAACACAUGCAAGUCUUUGGCGAAGCUGUGCUUGCACAGCCUAGCCAAGGCGGACGGGUGAGUAACGCGUAAGGAACUUGCCCUGCAGUCAGGGAUAACAGACGGAAACGACUGAUAAGACCUGGUAAAGUCAGGCGGACUCAUGUCCAGCCUGAUGAAAAGAGAUGCUGCAGGAGAGCCUUGCGUCCUAUUAGCUUGUUGGUGGGGUAACGGCCCACCAAGGCGAUGAUAGGUAGCCGGCCUGAGAGGGUGGACGGCCACAAGGGGACUGAGAUACGGCCCUUACUCCUACGGGAGGCAGCAGUGGGGAAUAUUGGACAAUGGGGGCAACCCUGAUCCAGCAAUUCUGUGUGCACGAUGAAGGUUUUCGGAUUGUAAAGUGCUUUCAGCAGGGAAGAAAAAAUGACGGUACCUGCAGAAGAAGCGACGGCUAAAUACGUA